CUCGUCUGCUGUCCCUCCAAAGCUUCCUGUGUGGGAAAUGAAAAGCUUCUCUUCACAUCCUCCUUUCUCCUUGGCAGGCUGAUUCCUGCCCUCCCUCCGAGGUUACAGGAGCCUGUGACAUUAUCUGCCAACUCCCAGGAAAGGCUCUAGGCCAUGGUUUGGAGCCCCGAAGAUGCAGCAAGAGAUGCUGUGCCAGGUGCAUUGGUGUUUUGCCUGAAUGUAUGUCUAUGAGAGUGUUGGAACUGGAACUCCCUGGAACUGGAGUUACACAGUUGUGAACUGCCAUGUGGGUGUUGGGAGUUGAACAUGGGUCCUUUGAAAGACGAUUCUUAACCACUGAGCCAACUUUCCAGUCCCUGAAUAUCACUUUUCUAUAUUUUAGGUAAUUGGACUGAAGAAUUCGAUACUACGAUGGAGCAGCUGAGAGUGGCCAUUGUUACGGCAAAUUCUACCAGAGUGGACGCAGGACUAGCCACAGGAUUAUCAUCAUGGAUUGCUGCAGCCAUGAAUCAUCUGAAGGAAUGGGCGGGCAUGGGAGCAUUAGCAGGCCUUCUGGUGUUGGUCUCCUUGGUUUGCCUGUGGUGUAUAUGCAAGAUUAGAGUCUCACAACAGCGUAAUGCAGCUAUGAUCAUUCAGGCCUUUACAGCCAUUGAUGCUCAGACUCUUUAGUAACAGUGUCUUGAUCCUCAUUCUCCCUAGCCUGUUCCAGGAUGUAUUUAAAGUAUGCAACGUCAGACACAUGUGUGUUUGUUGUGUUUGCUGCUCUGUGGACUUUACUGUACUUCAUGGCUUUGUUCUUCCUAAGAGCUUCCUAUGUUCCCUUUCACUGGUUGCAUUUCUCUGGAAUCUCCUGCCUGUGCUGGCUAGUAUUAUGUCAACUUGACACAAACUGUAGUUAUUUUGGAAGAGGGAACCUCAAUUGAGAAACAUGACCCCACUAAAUUGGCCUAUGUACAAACCUGUAGUGCAUUUUCUUGAUUAAUGGCUGAUGUGGGAGAGUUGAGCUCACCGUGAGAGGUGUCUCCCCUGGGCUGCUGCUCCUGUGCUAUAAGAAAGCAGGCUGAGCCAGGCACGGUGGCGCACACCUGUAAUCCCAGCACUUGGGGAGCAGAGGCAAGCAGAUCUCUGAGUUCGAGACCAACCUGGUCUGCAAAGUGAGUCCAGGACAGCCAAGGCUACACAGAGAAAUCCUGUCUUGAAAAAAAGAGAAGCAAAACAUGAUAACAACAACAAUAAAAAAAAGGAAUUAAGCAAGCUGAGCAAGAAAUGGGGAUGCUCCAAAGGUAUCUGUCCCCCAUGGUAUCUGCCUCAGUUCCUUCCUCCAGGCUCCUGCCCUGCUUGAUUUCCUGUGCCAACUUCCUUUCAUGAUGUGAUGGACUGUGGUAUGGAACUGUCCUUGAAAUAAACCUUUUCCUCCCCAAGUUGCUUUUAGUCACGGAGUUUUGUCACAACAAUAGAAUCCCUAACUAAGGCAUUUUCUCUAUGGAUUGUAUUUCUGGCUUUUUCAGGUGUAUGUGGUUAGCUUUAGACUCUCAAUAUCACUGCGGACUUGAAAACCUAAAAUAAAUCGAUAUUUCUACCCUCAACAAGCCAGGAAAGUUGAGACCUUGUAACUCGGAACUAUUAAGCUUGAAUGACUUGAGUCCAGCUCUCCAUCCACUGCUUGAUUGUCCAUCUUGUUUUUGUAAACUCCAAGUUAUGUAUUUUUAUACUUGUUAUCAUAAUUAUAUUCUGGUCACCCUUGAGUUUUAUGUCUCACACUUUCCUUCCAAUUCACCUCCUUCAUUUUUUUCUUUCCAGGGUAUCUUACAUGUCUUUGAGUCUUCAUUCUCCUGAAUACCUCUACAGUUCUUUACAUUUUGAUCAUAGCUUACACUUGGCAAUUAUUUUAGACUGCAAGAGCUAGUUAUGGGCUGGCAGGAAUUUUUUUUCCCUUUGGCAUUUUAAAGACAAAAUUCAUUAUACUCUGGCCUCAACACUGUUGUGGAGAUUCGCUGCCCAAACAAUUGUAGUUUAUUUGCUGUCUAAGUUUUUUUUUUUUUUCCUGACUUCAGUAUUUGGCAUUUUCACCAUGAUGUGCCUAAGUUAGUGCUUAUUCAUCAUGCCAAACCACUGUGCUUUUUAAAAUAUACCAAGUCAAAUUCAUCUUCAAUGUGAAUGUAGCUCUGUUCUUUCCAUUCCAAACUAUUGAGCAUUUACUGAUGGUUUAGCACUUUAUCCCCUGCUUUUCAUCUUCUCAUAUUUCUGUCCUUUGUCACUCAUUGUAUUCUACUUGAGUUAAUCUCUUGGUCCUUUAUUAGAGUCUCUUGAAGCUUCUAGUUUAUUUAUUUUCUUUCCUAUAUUUCUACAAUGUUCCCACAAAAUUUUUCUUUCAAAGUCUGCAUUUUAAAUUUCUAUUUUGC
Long non-coding RNA from Meriones unguiculatus (Mongolian gerbil), 2402 nucleotides. RefSeq lists it as uncharacterized. NCBI's taxonomy places the organism in Eukaryota, Metazoa, Chordata, Mammalia, Rodentia, Muridae. The record is from RefSeq and is a predicted model, not a curated record. The transcript has 3 exons.